GUGGCGGACGGGUGAGUAACGCGUGAGAAUCUGCCCUCAGGAGGGGGAUAACGGUUGGAAACGACCGCUAAUACCCCAUAUGCCGAGAGGUGAAAUGAAAUUCGCCUGAGGAUGAGCUCGCGUCUGAUUAGCUAGUUGGUAGGGUAAAGGCCUACCAAGGCAUUGAUCAGUAGCUGGUCUGAGAGGAUGAUCAGCCACACUGGGACUGAGACACGGCCCAGACUCCUACGGGAGGCAGCAGUGGGGAAUUUUCCGCAAUGGGCGCAAGCCUGACGGAGCAACGCCGCGUGAGGGAUGAAGGCCUCUGGGCUGUAAACCUCUUUUAUCAAGGAAGAAGAACUGACGGUACUUGAUGAAUAAGCCACGGCUAAUUCCGUGCCAGCAGCCGCGGUAAUACGGGAGUGGCAAGCGUUAUCCGGAAUUAUUGGGCGUAAAGCGUCCGCAGGCGGUUUUACAAGUCUGUCGUUAAAGCGUGGAGCUCAACUCCAUUUCAGCGAUGGAAACUGUAAGACUCGAGUGUGGUAGGGGCAGAGGGAAUUCCCGGUGCAGCGGUGAAAUGCGUAGAUAUCGGGAAGAACACCAGUGGCGAAAGCGCUCUGCUGGGCCAUAACUGACGCUCAUGGACAGAAGCCAGGGGAGCGAAAGGGAUUAGAUACCCCUGUAGUCCUGGCCGUAAACGAUGAACACUAGGUGUCGGGGGAAUCGA
This 706-nucleotide ribosomal RNA is filed under the name uncultured bacterium. Its description in RNAcentral is "bacterial SSU rRNA". It matches the Rfam family "Bacterial small subunit ribosomal RNA", at positions 95 to 835 of the family's 1533-position model. The record is from RNAcentral.